CAGUAGCCGCGGGAAUACGUAGGUCCCGAGCGUUGUCCGGAUUUAUUGGGCGUAAAGCGAGCGCAGGCGGUUAGAUAAGUCUGAAGUUAAAGGCUGUGGCUUAACCAUAGUACGCUUUGGAAACUGUUUGACUUGAGUGCAAGAGGGGAGAGUGGAAUUCCAUGUGUAGCGGUGAAAUGCGUAGAUAUAUGGAGGAACACCGGUGGCGAAAGCGGCUCUCUGGCUUGUAACUGACGCUGAGGCUCGAAAGCGUGGGGAGCAAACAGGAUUAGAUACCCCCGUAGUCCCUGUCUCUUAUACA
Molecule: ribosomal RNA, 301 nt
Filed under: uncultured bacterium
Lineage: Bacteria
Description: partial 16S ribosomal RNA
Rfam family: Bacterial small subunit ribosomal RNA
Source: RNAcentral